AUUGAACGCUGGCGGCAUGCUUUACACAUGCAAGUCGAACGGUAACAGGUUAAGCUGACGAGUGGCGAACGGGUGAGUAAUGCAUCGGAACGUGCCCGGUCGUGGGGGAUAACGCAGCGAAAGCUGCGCUAAUACCGCAUACGAUCUGAGGAUGAAAGCGGGGGACCGUAAGGCCUCGCGCGAUCGGAGCGGCCGAUGUCGGAUUAGGUAGUUGGUGGGGUAAAGGCUCACCAAGCCAACGAUCUGUAGCUGGUCUGAGAGGACGACCAGCCACACUCGGACUGAGACACGGCCCAGACUCCUACGGGAGGCAGCAGUGGGGAAUUUUGGACAAUGGGCGAAAGCCUGAUCCAGCAAUGCCGCGUGCAGGAAGAAGGCCUUCGGGUUGUAAACUGCUUUUGUACGGAGCGAAAAGGUCUCCUCUAAUACAGGGGGCGCAUGACGGUACCGUAAGAAUAAGCACCGGCUAACUACGUGCCAGCAGCCGCGGUAA
Molecule: ribosomal RNA, 493 nt
Filed under: uncultured bacterium
Lineage: Bacteria
Description: partial 16S ribosomal RNA
Rfam family: Bacterial small subunit ribosomal RNA
Source: RNAcentral